RNAcentral lists this long non-coding RNA (666 nucleotides) under Danio rerio (zebrafish). RNAcentral describes it as "lncRNA si:ch211-207m2.1 (ENSDARG00000098039.2)". Lineage: Eukaryota; Metazoa; Chordata; Actinopteri; Cypriniformes; Danionidae. The record is from RNAcentral.
GAAUGAGAUUGGUGACCCCUGAUAUAGAGUCUGUAUGGAAGAGUCUUGAAGACGAGGAGGAAUGGGUCUCGCUGCUUCUGGAGAGUGGAAAUACUCUCCGCGCUGUUUCUCUGGGCAUCUCACCCGCCCAAUGAGAGAGAGGAGGCUUGGUCUUCACAAGGUCUCUCUCCCCCCCCUCCCUCCUUGAGUUCUCAUUGUACAAAGACGUACAGGAGGAGAAAGCAUGGCCAAAGGAUUGAGCCUGCCGUGCACCUGCCCCCUGAAGCCAGCCAAACACAGGCACUCACUUCAGUCCUUCUCAACGGGAGUGCUGCUCUGUGGUCAUAAAACCUCACAGAUCCGUUUCUCUCCGAUCCGGUUGUCUAUUCCGAAGACGUCAGUUUGUUUACCAUUCAAUCAAACUUGCUCUCGUUUUCCCGAAGGAAAAAGUUUCUUGGGAGCUCAAGAGACUUGAUGAAAUUCUCAGGUGUUUUAUCAAUGCUGCUUAGAUGUUUCUUCUAAAUAAACCUAAGGGGACAUAUAAGACACAAACAAGACAACUGUUCACAGACAAUGUGACGCACUGAUAAAUCUGUUGACGCAGUUGUGGAUUUUAAAAAGUGACAUGUGUUCACCUUGAACAAAAAUGUCCAUACAAAAAUAAAACAUAAUUAAAUCUUUUUUUUU